CGUGGAGACAGGUGGUGCAUGGCUGUCGUCAGCUCGUGUCGUGAGAUGUUGGGUUAAGUCCCGCAACGAGCGCAACCCUCACCCCUAGUUGCCACCGGGUAAAGCCGAGCACUCGAGGGGAACUGCCAGCGUCAAGCUGGAGGAAGGCGGGGAUGACGUCAAGUCAUCAUGCCCCUUACGCCCUGGGCUACACACGUGCUACAAUGGCCGGUACAAAGGGACGCGAGACUGCAAGGUGGAGCUAAUCCCAAAAAACUGGUCUAAGUUCAGAUUGCAGUCUGCAACUCGACUCCGUGAAGUUGGAAUCGCUAGUAAUCGUGGAUCAGCAUGCCACGGUGAAUACGUUCCCGGGCCUUGUACACACCGCCCGUCACACCACGAAAGCUGUCUGUACUCGAAGUCGCUGAG
This 408-nucleotide ribosomal RNA is filed under the name uncultured Methylomirabilota bacterium. RNAcentral describes it as "bacterial SSU rRNA". It matches the Rfam family "Bacterial small subunit ribosomal RNA", at positions 1027 to 1434 of the family's 1533-position model. The record is from RNAcentral. Lineage: Bacteria; Methylomirabilota (SeqCode).